This is a non-coding RNA of Glycine max (soybean), 151 nucleotides long. NCBI's taxonomy places the organism in Eukaryota, Viridiplantae, Streptophyta, Magnoliopsida, Fabales, Fabaceae. The record is from Rfam.
CCGUUAAGUGAUAACGUGACAGAUGAAGUGUCACGUCAUCUCGUCUUGUCACACACAUACACUUCAUUACCACGUUAUCAUCUUCAAUGAUGUGUUAGUGAUUAGAUGUGAUGAUGUGACACUCUAUCUGCCACAUCAUCACUUAACGGAA